AAAAAUAAUGCAAUUGUUCUCAUAUUUUUAGGGUUAAAAAUGAAAGAGUUAUGAAUUUUUGAAAUAAAAGGAAAUAAAAGAAACUAAAAUAGAAAAUCAGAAAAUAGAAAAAUCAUGGUGCGAUAGAUCUGAUCUCAUUAAAUGACAUGGCACAUCAGAUGGCUCUCAAGCGCACGCUCACCAAAGGCAUUGGGUCAAAGGAGACACACACAUCAUUAUUAAAAGUCAUAACAACCAAG
This 239-nucleotide long non-coding RNA is filed under the name Lathyrus oleraceus (garden pea). RNAcentral describes it as "Pisum sativum (pea) long non-coding RNA (PSAT_LNC020551)". Lineage: Eukaryota; Viridiplantae; Streptophyta; Magnoliopsida; Fabales; Fabaceae. The record is from RNAcentral.